GUGGGUAGGGCUAAGUGGCAGAGCAUGUUCUUGGCAUGCACAGCGUCCUGGGUUCAAUCCCCAGUGCCUCCA
This is a transfer RNA of Camelus ferus (Wild Bactrian camel), 72 nucleotides long. It matches the Rfam family "tRNA". From Rfam's summary of the family: Transfer RNA (tRNA) molecules are approximately 80 nucleotides in length. Their secondary structure includes four short double-helical elements and three loops (D, anti-codon, and T loops). Further hydrogen bonds mediate the characteristic L-shaped molecular structure. tRNAs have two regions of fundamental functional importance: the anti-codon, which is responsible for specific mRNA codon recognition, and the 3' end, to which the tRNAs corresponding amino acid is attached (by aminoacyl-tRNA synthetases). tRNAs cope with the degeneracy of the genetic code in two manners: having more than one tRNA (with a specific anti-codon) for a particular amino acid; and 'wobble' base-pairing, i.e. permitting non-standard base-pairing at the 3rd anti-codon position. NCBI's taxonomy places the organism in Eukaryota, Metazoa, Chordata, Mammalia, Artiodactyla, Camelidae. The record is from Rfam.